UUUGCAGGCCCGGCACAGUCUCAGUUCCCCACAGCACAGAGAGGAAGCAAGGUCUUUGCAUGCCCUGUUCACUUGGCCAAACAUUGCCCUAGAUGUGCAAUUCAACCCAUAUAAAGCAAGCGUAAUUCAAGAGCCCUGACUCUUUCACCAUUUCAUGAUGGCUUAUUACUCGCACACGGCAUUGUCAGGUUCCAGCAACUCUGUGUGCAGCAGGCAGAAAUGCAGUGUUUAUCUCUGACAGGCAAACAUUCUUAGGCUCAUCGGCAUGAGUAUCCACGCUGAACUGGCUAUCGGGGAAGUAGAUCCCUGCAUGGGAAAGUCAAGUAUCCCCACUGUGUAGAGCUGGUCCACAAUGGAGAGGAGGAAAAGUUUUGCAUUGGACCAAAUCACUGCCUUAGAAGGAAAGAGAUUGCAAUCCCAUUCAUUUUUAAGAUCUGCAAUGGGUUGGGAUGAUACCCAUUUAAAAAAGAAAAAAAAAGAGGUUACCUCUUUGGCCUCUUUGGCAAAGGAUAUGAACUAGUAAUAAAGCCUCAGCAUCAAGGCUUGGGAGUCUGGCUCAAAGUGGCUAAGACUAGAAGCAUCUUCUAACAUAAAUAUGGCAGCAUUAGGAAAAUAGCUUGGCCUUUAGAGAGACCCAGAUUAUCUUCACCUUAAAAACUACCAAGACCCUGGUCCAGCAAGACCACCAUCACAGCAGUAAAUACAUAGCCACCAACUUCACAGAAGGUUUUCCACUGAGACAUUGUGAAAACCACAAUCCAUUACCGGUGGAUGAGUCCCAGCUCUCUUACUACCUGGAGCUUCCAAGCAAGACUUACCUGUCCUUUGUUCCAGAUUGGUUCCUGGGAUCCUGGACCAACACAAAGAGAAGAGGAAAGCCUCAAGGGAAAUAAAAGUGAAGGUUUCAGUGAUAGUUUAAAUAUAUAUUUUUAAAUGUUAGCUUUUUUUUAAAUACUUCACAGUGAUGGAUGGAGUAUUUCAACCACAAUGGCAAAGAAUGAAUUACCGGCAGUGUCAGAGUUUCUUGUUGCUGUGGGAAGACAGCUGCCAUGUUGAGAGGUGCCUUGUGGAGAGGCUCAUGUGGCGAGGAACUGAGACUGGCUUCUAUCCAACAACCAGUGAGGAACUAAGGCCCUAAAGUCCUAUAGUCCACAAGGAACUAAAUCCUACCAACAACUACAUGAGUGAGCCUGGAAUCUGAUUUUCCCCAGUGGGGACUUAAGGUACCUACAACCUGGCUGUUAUGGGCUAAACUGCAUCCUGCCCAAAUUUAUAUGUUUGAGUCUUAACUCCCAGCACUUCAGAACAUGGUUUUGUUUGGAGACAUAGUCAUUAAAGAGGUAAUGAAGUUAAAAUGAGGUCAUUAGGAUGAGUCCUAAUCCAAUAGGACUGGUGUUCUUAUAUGAAGAGGAAAUUUGAACACAGACACAUAUACAGGAAAGACCAUGCGAAGAAGACACAGAGAGGAAACGGCCAUCUACAAUCCAAGGAGAGAGGCCUCAGAACAAGCCAACCCUGCAGAUACCUUGAUCUAGGCAUCCAGAAUUGUAUGAAAAUACAUUUUUGUUAUUUAAGCUACCCAGUCUGUGGUGCUUUGUUAUGGCAAUCCCAGAAAACUAAUUAACUAAUUGACUGCAGCCUUGCAAGGGACCCUGAACCAGAGGACCCAGUUAAGCCAUGUGCAGAUUCCUGACUCACAGAACUAGGAGAUAACAAAUGUUUGUUGUUCUAAGGUGCUAAAUGUUGGGAAAAUAUGUUAUGUGGCUAUGUUGUUUUGCACAUGUGCCACAUAAUGAUGUUUUGGUCAACAACAGACCACACAUAUGAUGGUGGGCCCAUAAGAUUGUAAUACUGUGUUUCUAUUAUGCAUUCUCUAUUUAUAGAUACACAAAUACUUGCCACUGUGUUACAAUUGCCUACUGUCUUCAGUACUGUAACAUGCUGUACAGGUUUGUAGCCCAGAAGCAAUAGACUAUACCAUACAGUCUGGGUGUGUAGUAGGCUAUACCAUCUAUGUUUGUGAAGUACACUCUAUGAUGUUCACAUAAUUAUGAAGUUGCCUAGUGAUGCAUUUCUCAGAAUGCAUGCCCGACAUUAAGUGACACUUGGCUUUAUGUCUAUCAUGCAUUUAAGAUAUUGCAAUAUAGUUAACUUAUGUUUUAAUACACCUCUUAAUUCUGUUUUGAUCCCACACCAACCAAGAUGCAAAACUAAUUUUUUCGCCCAUUUCCAUAAAAAACACAAUUACAAUGGGAAAAAAAAAAAAAAAAAA
Molecule: long non-coding RNA, 2272 nt
Filed under: Homo sapiens (human)
Lineage: Eukaryota; Metazoa; Chordata; Mammalia; Primates; Hominidae
Description: long independently transcribed non-coding RNA 2397 (LINC02397)
Source: RNAcentral